AAUGAACGUUGGCGGCGUGGAUUAGGCAUGCAAGUCGGACGCCCCGAAAGGGGCGUGGCGCAAGGGUGAGUAAGGCGACGGCAACCCACCCCGGGGCCGGGCAUAGCCGAGGGAAACCUCGGGUAAUUCCCGGCGCCGCAGGUUUUCGGCAUCGGAGACCUGCGAAAGGUGUGACUCCGCCCCGGGACGGGCCGUCGUGGUAUUAGGUCGUUGGCGGGGUGACGGCCCACCAAGCCUGCGAUGCCUACCGGGCGUGCGAGCGCGGCCCGGCACACUGGGACUGAGACACUGCCCAGACUCCUACGGGAGGCUGCAGUCGAGAAUCUUCGGCAAUGGGCGCAAGCCUGACCGAGCGACGCCGCGUGGGGGACGAAGGCCCUCGGGUUGUAAACCCCUGUCGAGGGGGGGCAAGGGCCGGUGCAGAGCCGGCCUCGAGUGACCCCUGGAGGAAGCACGGGCUAAGUUCGUGCCAGCCGCCGCCGUAAUAC
Molecule: ribosomal RNA, 488 nt
Filed under: uncultured bacterium
Lineage: Bacteria
Description: bacterial SSU rRNA
Rfam family: Bacterial small subunit ribosomal RNA
Source: RNAcentral